RNAcentral lists this ribosomal RNA (550 nucleotides) under uncultured Planctomycetota bacterium. RNAcentral's name for it is "uncultured planctomycete partial 16S ribosomal RNA". Lineage: Bacteria; Pseudomonadati; Planctomycetota. The record is from RNAcentral.
UUCCUUUGAGUUUCAGCCUUGCGACCAUACUCCCCAGGCGGAGCACUUAACACUUUCGCUUCGGUCGGAAACCUAUGGAGGAGCCUCCAACCUAGUGCUCAUCGUUUACAGCUAGGACUACCGGGGUAUCUAAUCCCGUUCGCUACCCUAGCUUUCGUGCCUCAGCGUCAGAAAAGACCCAGUGAGCCGCUUUCGCCACAGGUGUUCCUAAUGAUAUCAACGCAUUUCACCGCUCCACCAUUAGUUCCGCUCACCUCUAUCUUCCUCUAGCUUGGCAGUUUUGAGCGCAGUUCCUCGGUUGAGCCGAGGGAUUUCACACCCAACUUGCCAUGCCGCCUACGCACCCUUUAAGCCCAGUGAUUCCGAAUAACGUUUGGACGGUUCGUCUUACCGCGGCUGCUGGCACGAACUUAGCCCGUCCUUCCUCUGAAGAUAGGUCAACUAUGGGGGAGAACCCCCAUAGAUUUCCUCCCAACUGACAGCGGUUUACAACCCGAAGGCCUUCAUCCCGCACGCGGCGUCGCUCCGUCAGGCUUUCGCCCAUUGCGGA